AAUGGUUUCGACGGGGGCAAGUUGCUCCUGGGAAGCGAGUCGAAGGGAUCCUGUACCUGCGUUAAAAAACUGGGAAUUUAAAUAUAAUUGCAAACGAUAAUUUUGCAUUAGCUGCCUAAUAGUUGCAGCUCGUCAGCCUAAGAGUCCCACGACUUAGGGUCUGGCGUCGACAGUGGGGAACCGAGCCUUACAAAGCUUUGAGUAAGGAACGGAAUUAAUGAAGCUACUGAAUCUAAGAGCCUGUUUAUCAGCGCUUAGAGGAGGGAAUGUAAAAGGAUAAACUGCACUCGGAGAUGCCCAGGGGUUGCUGCUUUCGGACAGGGGUUCGAUUCA
This 333-nucleotide transfer-messenger RNA is filed under the name Clostridium botulinum. It matches the Rfam family "transfer-messenger RNA". Rfam says of the family: Bacterial tmRNA, also known as 10Sa RNA or SsrA, is named for its dual tRNA and mRNA-like properties. Its role is to liberate the mRNA from a stalled ribosome. To accomplish this part of the tmRNA is used as a reading frame that ends in a translation stop signal. Lineage: Bacteria; Bacillati; Bacillota; Clostridia; Eubacteriales; Clostridiaceae. The record is from RNAcentral.